Apodemus sylvaticus (European woodmouse) is the source of this 629-nucleotide long non-coding RNA. RefSeq lists it as uncharacterized. Lineage: Eukaryota; Metazoa; Chordata; Mammalia; Rodentia; Muridae. The transcript is spliced from 3 exons. The record is from RefSeq and is a predicted model, not a curated record.
UACAGUUUGUGGUGAAGACGGUCAUCAUUAUGGUUCCAGCCAUUAGGAGAAGGCACAGGGCCCCAAGCACACUCGAGAUGAGCCUCCACCGAGAAGGAGAAAGAAGUGAAGAUCCACAUACUAUAAGUAAACACUCUAUGGAAUGAGAUUUUGCUGUCUUUUCACUUGGGGGACAGAUUUUCAGAAUCACUAAACCUUCUACUAAUGAGAAGCCCAGAGAGACAACAAACAGAGUGGAAAGGAAUCUGAGGAACUGCGACCCCAACACUGCCACCAAUGGGCAGUAUGCUGUAGGAUGGGAGAGUAAGAAAGACUCUGGCCAUGAUCCCCCCUGCACCACAGUCUGGUGGAAAGUCUUACAUCAUCCAACUACUCUUGUCCUGACUCUCUUUUCAUAUCCCUAAGAAGUCCCGUUUGUUCAGUGGCCUGGGAAAUGGCUCAGUCCUCCUUGCUGUUCAGUUUGAAGAGCCUGACUCACAGUCUUGGGGCCUCUACUACUUAUGUGCAACUGGGAUGUCUGGAUUCUGGACUUAAGACUGCAAUAAAGAAUUUCAAGAUGAGUCAAAGUGACACAAACUUGGCCUGGUUGUUGAUCAGGAGAAAGGGUAUAUAUAAUUUAAAUUGCAUCA